RNAcentral lists this ribosomal RNA (1666 nucleotides) under Achromobacter xylosoxidans. RNAcentral's name for it is "partial 23S ribosomal RNA". It matches the Rfam family "Bacterial large subunit ribosomal RNA", at positions 1281 to 2925 of the family's 2925-position model. Lineage: Bacteria; Pseudomonadati; Pseudomonadota; Betaproteobacteria; Burkholderiales; Alcaligenaceae. The record is from RNAcentral.
AUCAGAAGUGCGAAUGCUGACAUGAGUAGCGAUAAAGGGGGUGAAAAGCCCCCUCGCCGUAAGUCCAAGGUUUCCUGCGCAACGUUCAUCGGCGCAGGGUGAGUCGGCCCCUAAGGCGAGGCAGAGAUGCGUAGCUGAUGGGAAGCUGGUUAAUAUUCCAGCACCGUCGUACAGUGCGAUGGGGGGACGGAUCGCGGAAGAUCAUCAGGGUGUUGGAUGUCCCUGUUGACAUAUCGAAGAUGGCGCUUAGGCAAAUCCGGGCGCGUAAAUCAAGGGUAUGGCACGAGCGAGCAUUGCUUGCGAAGUGAUUGGAAGUGGUUCCAAGAAAAGCCUCUAAGCUUCAGCUGUACGAGACCGUACCGCAAACCGACACAGGUGGACGGGAUGAAUAUUCCAAGGCGCUUGAGAGAACUCAGGAGAAGGAACUCGGCAAAUUGAUACCGUAACUUCGGGAGAAGGUAUACCCCGGUAGUGUGAAGCGCCUGCGCGCUUAGCAUGAUGGGGUCGCAGAGAAUCGGUGGCUGCGACUGUUUAUUAAAAACACAGCACUCUGCAAAGACGAAAGUCGACGUAUAGGGUGUGACGCCUGCCCGGUGCCGGAAGGUUAAGUGAUGGGGUGCAAGCUCUUGAUCGAAGCCCCGGUAAACGGCGGCCGUAACUAUAACGGUCCUAAGGUAGCGAAAUUCCUUGUCGGGUAAGUUCCGACCUGCACGAAUGGCGUAACGAUGGCCACACUGUCUCCUCCUGAGACUCAGCGAAGUUGAAGUGUUUGUGAUGAUGCAAUCUACCCGCGGCUAGACGGAAAGACCCCAUGAACCUUUACUGUAGCUUUGCAUUGGACUGUGAACCGGCCUGUGUAGGAUAGGUGGGAGGCUUUGAAGCGUGGUCGCUAGAUCACGUGGAGCCAUCCUUGAAAUACCACCCUGGUUUGUUUGCGGUUCUAACCUUGGUCCGUUAUCCGGAUCGGGGACAGUGCAUGGUGGGCAGUUUGACUGGGGCGGUCUCCUCCCAAAGUGUAACGGAGGAGUUCGAAGGUACGCUAGGUACGGUCGGAAAUCGUGCUGAUAGUGCAAUGGCAUAAGCGUGCUUGACUGUGAGACUGACAAGUCGAACAGGUGCGAAAGCAGGACAUAGUGAUCCGGUGGUUCUGAAUGGAAGGGCCAUCGCUCAACGGAUAAAAGGUACUCUGGGGAUAACAGGCUGAUACCGCCCAAGAGUUCAUAUCGACGGCGGUGUUUGGCACCUCGAUGUCGGCUCAUCUCAUCCUGGGGCUGUAGCCGGUCCCAAGGGUAUGGCUGUUCGCCAUUUAAAGAGGUACGUGAGCUGGGUUUAAAACGUCGUGAGACAGUUUGGUCCCUAUCUGCCGUGGGCGUUGGAUACUUGACGGAGCCUGCUCCUAGUACGAGAGGACCGGAGUGGACGUACCUCUGGUGUACCGGUUGUCAUGCCAAUGGCAUUGCCGGGUAGCUAAGUACGGAAGAGAUAACCGCUGAAGGCAUCUAAGCGGGAAACUCGUCUGAAGAUUAGGUAUCCCGGGGACUUGAUCCCCCUGAAGAGUCGUUCGAGACCAGGACGUUGAUAGGUCGGGUGUGGAAGCGCAGUAAUGCGUUAAGCUAACCGAUACUAAUUGCUCGUGAGGCUUGAUCCUAUAACACUGAUGGUUAUG